RNAcentral lists this ribosomal RNA (601 nucleotides) under uncultured bacterium. RNAcentral describes it as "bacterial SSU rRNA". It matches the Rfam family "Bacterial small subunit ribosomal RNA", at positions 791 to 1398 of the family's 1533-position model. The record is from RNAcentral.
UAGUCCACGCCGUAAACGAUGAGGACCAAGUGUUGGGGGUGAAACCUCAGUGCUGAAGUUAACGCAGUGAGUCCUCCGCCUGGGGAGUAUGCACGCAAGUGUGAAACUCAAAGGAAUUGACGGGGGCCCGCACAAGUGGUGGAGUAUGUGGUUUAAUUCGAAGCAACGCGAAGAACCUUACCAGGCCUUGACAUGGGAUGCGAAGAUGCAGAGAUGCAUCGGAGGCCAACAUCCACACAGGUGGUGCAUGGUUGUCGUCAGCUCGUGUCGUGAGAUGUUGGGUCAAGUCCCGCAACGAGCGCAACCCUUGUGGCAUGUUGCUAACAGGAAAAGCUGAGGACUCAUGCCAGACUGCCGGUGACAAACCGGAGGAAGGCGGGGAUGACGUCAAAUCAUCAUGCCCCUUAUGGCCUGGGCUACACACGUACUACAAUGGCGGCUACAAAGAGCAGCGAGACAGGGAUGUCGAGCGAAUCUCAUAAAAGCCGUCCCAGUUCGGAUUGGAGGCUGCAACCCGCCUCCAUGAAGUUGGAAUCGCUAGUAAUCGCGGAUCAGCAUGCCGCGGUGAAUACGUUCCCGGGCCUUGUACACACCGCCCGUC